RNAcentral lists this ribosomal RNA (460 nucleotides) under uncultured bacterium. Its description in RNAcentral is "partial 16S ribosomal RNA". It matches the Rfam family "Bacterial small subunit ribosomal RNA", at positions 338 to 795 of the family's 1533-position model. The record is from RNAcentral.
CCUACGGGAGACAGCAGUGAGGAAUAUUGGUCAAUGGACGAGAGUCUGAACCAGCCAAGUAGCGUGAAGGAUGACUGCCCUAUGGGUUGUAAACUUCUUUUAUAAAGGAAUAAAACGAGGCACGUGUGCCUUUUUGCAUGUACUUUAUGAAUAAGGAUCGGCUAACUCCGUGCCAGCAGCCGCGGUAAUACGGAGGAUCCGAGCGUUAUCCGGAUUUAUUGGGUUUAAAGGGAGCGUAGAUGGGUUGUUAAGUCAGUUGUGAAAGUUUGCGGCUCAACCGUAAAAUUGCAAUUGAUACUGGCAGUCGUGAGUACAGUUGAGGUAAGCGGAAUUCGUGGUGUAGCGGUGAAAUGCUUAGAUAUCACGAAGAACCCCGAUUGCGAAGGCAGCUUACUAAACUGUGACUGACAUUGAUGCUCGAAAGUGUGGGUAUCAAACAGGAUUAGAUACCCGGGUAGUC